UUCCAGACUCCUACGGGAGGCAGCAGUGGGGGAUAUUGCACAAUGGGGGGAACCCUGAUGCAGCGACGCCGCGUGGGUGAAGAAGCGCCUCGGCGCGUAAAGCCCUGUCAGCAGGGAAGAAAAUGACGGUACCUGAAGAAGAAGCCCCGGCUAACUACGUGCCAGCAGCCGCGGUAAUACGUAGGGGGCAAGCGUUAUCCGGAUUUACUGGGUGUAAAGGGAGCGUAGACGGCGAGGUAAGCCUGAAGUGGAAGCCCGCGGCCCAACCGCGGAACUGCUUUGGGAACUGUUUUGCUGGAGUAUGGGAGGGGUAAGCGGAAUUCCUGGUGUAGCGGUGAAAUGCGUAGAUAUCAGGAGGAACACCGGUGGCGAAGGCGGCUUACUGGACCAUAACUGACGUUGAGGCUCGAAAGCGUGGGGAGCGAACAGGAUUAGAUACCCCCGUAAG
Molecule: ribosomal RNA, 448 nt
Filed under: uncultured bacterium
Lineage: Bacteria
Description: partial 16S ribosomal RNA
Rfam family: Bacterial small subunit ribosomal RNA
Source: RNAcentral